This 116-nucleotide ribosomal RNA is filed under the name Lederbergia lenta. Lineage: Bacteria; Bacillati; Bacillota; Bacilli; Caryophanales; Bacillaceae. The record is from RNAcentral.
UGGUGAUGAUUGCGAAGAGGUCACACCCGUUCCCAUCUCGAACACGGCAGUUAAGCUCUUCAGCGCCGAUGGUAGUUGGGGGUUCUCCCCCUGCAAGAGCAGGACAUUGCCGGGCA